Molecule: non-coding RNA, 74 nt
Organism: Erythrobacter sp. HI00D59
Lineage: Bacteria; Pseudomonadati; Pseudomonadota; Alphaproteobacteria; Sphingomonadales; Erythrobacteraceae
Source: Rfam
GCGCCCGUAGCUCAGCUGGAUAGAGCACCAGACUACGAAUCUGGGGGCCGGAGGUUCGAAUCCUUCCGGGCGCG